AGUGAACGCUGGCGGUAGGCCUAACACAUGCAAGUCGAACGGCAGCACAGUAAGAGCUUGCUCUUACGGGUGGCGAGUGGCGGACGGGUGAGGAGUACAUCGGAAUCUACUUUUUCGUGGGGGAUAACGUAGGGAAACUUACGCUAAUACCGCAUACGACCUACGGGUGAAAGCAGGGGAUCUUCGGACCUUGCGCGAUUGAAUGAGCCGAUGUCGGAUUAGCUAGUUGGCGGGGUAAAGGCCCACCAAGGCGACGAUCCGUGGCUGGUCUGAGAGGAUGAUCAGCCACACUGGAACUGAGACACGGUCCAGACUCCUACGGGAGGCAGCAGUGGGGAAUAUUGGACAAUGGGCGCAAGCCUGAUCCAGCCAUACCGCGUGGGUGAAGAAGGCCUUCGGGUUGUAAAGCCCUUUUGUUGGGAAAGAAAAGCAGCAGGUUAAUACCCCGCUGUUCUGACGGUACCCAAAGAAUAAGCACCGGCUAACUUCGUG
RNAcentral lists this ribosomal RNA (492 nucleotides) under uncultured bacterium. Its description in RNAcentral is "partial 16S ribosomal RNA". It matches the Rfam family "Bacterial small subunit ribosomal RNA", at positions 29 to 507 of the family's 1533-position model. The record is from RNAcentral.